GGAUGGAAGUUAGUGGAGGGGCUAUUACUAGGGAGAAGGUGCUUGGGAAGCUGAAAGGACUGAAGGUAGAUAAGUCACCUGGGCCGGAUGUACUGCACCCUAAGGUUCAGAAAGAAGUGGCUUUAGAGAUUGUGGAGGCAUUGAUAGUGAUAUUUCAGGAAUCACUAGAGUCAGGAGUGGUCCCAGAU
Amblyraja radiata (thorny skate) is the source of this 188-nucleotide long non-coding RNA. RefSeq lists it as uncharacterized. NCBI's taxonomy places the organism in Eukaryota, Metazoa, Chordata, Chondrichthyes, Rajiformes, Rajidae. The transcript is spliced from 3 exons. The record is from RefSeq and is a predicted model, not a curated record.